AAUCAAUAGCCAAUUAAUUGUUGGCCGGUAUGAAUGGCAUCACGAAGGCCCCACUGUCUUAAGAGGACUCUCCAUGAAAUUGAAUUCGUAGUGAAGAUGCUACGUCCAUAUUGUAAGACGAAAAGACCCCAUUGAGCUUUACUAAAGACUUGUAUGGCUCGAAAUAACUUAAAUAAAAAGUUUAGAUAAUGUGGGAUCCGUUUUUGGUUAAUGAAACACCACUCUUUUAUUUUAAGAGAGCUAACCUUGUAGGGAGAGUGCAAGUUGGAUAGUUUGGUUGGGGCGACCGCCUUUUAAAAGGUAACGAAGGUGAGCUUAAGGUCCGUAGUUAAUAGCUAGUGGCCUGACUGCAAGGGGGACAUCCCGAGCAGACACUGGUAAUCUCUCAGUGGGUUAUAGUGACCCGUCAUCUGAGAGUGGAAUAGUUGACGAUCAA
Molecule: ribosomal RNA, 436 nt
Filed under: Verrillactis paguri
Lineage: Eukaryota; Metazoa; Cnidaria; Anthozoa; Actiniaria; Sagartiidae
Description: partial large subunit ribosomal RNA
Rfam family: Bacterial large subunit ribosomal RNA
Source: RNAcentral